GUAGUUGUCACGCCCCGAGCCCGCCUCUUUGGUCGGAUUCGGGCACGCCAACAGACCGCCGAACGGACAGGGUUUCCCCUGUACCGCGGACAGAGUCUCCCCUGUACGUUCAAGGCGUCGCAAUCAAUACAAUGUACGAAGUUCCAACCAGGAACACAUUUCAAGCAAAGAUUGCAUAAGGAAGUAUCAAAAACAUAAAUCUACUUGCUAUUACAAGCAUUCACAUUCAUACAUUUUUACAUCACAAUUCUCAUUUGAUUCUUACAUUAGCUUUCACUUAACUUCCAAAUACAAUCCGAUUUUAACAUAGUUAUUACAACAUUGUUCUUACAAUUAUCACAUUUUUGGUUCUUU
RNAcentral lists this long non-coding RNA (354 nucleotides) under Ananas comosus (pineapple). RNAcentral's name for it is "long non-coding RNA (ACOM_LNC042335)". The record is from RNAcentral. Lineage: Eukaryota; Viridiplantae; Streptophyta; Magnoliopsida; Poales; Bromeliaceae.